GUUGCCCUGCUGUGUGCGUGAUGCUGCGCUCACGGUUUUGAGCCAACAUUUUUAUUAGGGGUCUUUGUCUUACGAAUACGACGCGAUAGGCCUGAGCCAAGGCGAAGUCUCCGAGGCGGGACCCACCUGCGAAAGCAGGUUCAAAACUUUGCAGCACACGGCAUGGUGGGGUUUUU
RNAcentral lists this non-coding RNA (176 nucleotides) under Chloroflexi bacterium GWB2_49_20. Its description in RNAcentral is "6S RNA". It matches the Rfam family "6S / SsrS RNA". From Rfam's summary of the family: E. coli 6S RNA was the first non coding RNA to be sequenced, but its function was unknown until recently. It consists of 184 nucleotides that fold into an extended hairpin structure with a large single-stranded internal bulge. The 6S RNA specifically associates with RNA polymerase holoenzyme containing the sigma70 specificity factor. Lineage: Bacteria; Bacillati; Chloroflexota. The record is from RNAcentral. RNAcentral also lists the same sequence under 2 other names.